Molecule: ribosomal RNA, 253 nt
Filed under: uncultured bacterium
Lineage: Bacteria
Description: partial 16S ribosomal RNA
Rfam family: Bacterial small subunit ribosomal RNA
Source: RNAcentral
UACAGAGGUCCCGAGCGUUGUUCGGAUUCAUUGGGCGUAAAGGGUGCGUAGGCGGCGAGGCAAGUCUGAUGUGAAAUCCCGGGGCUCAACCCCGGAACUGCAUUGGAUACUGCCUUGCUUGAGUACUGGAGAGGGAACUGGAAUUUACGGUGUAGCAGUGAAAUGCGUAGAUAUCUGGAGGAACACCGGUGGCGAAGGCGGCAUCCUGGACCAAUAUUGACGCUGAGGAGCGAAAGCCAGGGGAGCAAACGGG